CGGCCACGAGCUCACGCCAUCUAACGGCGUGGCGGCCGCUACUGCUCCGGCGUGUGGGUAAAAACAGACCGCCGACCGCCGUUCUGCUGCUCCCCGGUGCCAUGGUGUCGUGGAGCGACGAGACCAGUGAGGAUUCAGUCCUGAACAUCUCCUCCUCCUGCGAUGGCAUCAUCAAGCUUCCAGCUACGAUGCACGAUCCGAAUUUCAAUGGUACUGACGCAGAUGUGAAUGUGUUGUGUGAACACGGUGAGCCGGC
Molecule: long non-coding RNA, 256 nt
Organism: Triticum dicoccoides
Lineage: Eukaryota; Viridiplantae; Streptophyta; Magnoliopsida; Poales; Poaceae
Exons: 3
Source: RefSeq, a predicted model, not a curated record